Molecule: unclassified non-coding RNA, 389 nt
Filed under: soil metagenome
Description: partial contains 5.8S ribosomal RNA, internal transcribed spacer 2, and large subunit ribosomal RNA
Rfam family: 5.8S ribosomal RNA (bases 1-122)
Source: RNAcentral
GAUGAAGAACGUAGCGAAAUGCGAUACUUGGUGUGAAUUGCAGAAUCCCGCGAAUCAUCGAGUUUUUGAACGCAAGUUGCGCCCGAAGCCAUUCGGCCGAGGGCACGUCUGCCUGGGUGUCACGCAUCGUUGCCCCCCCAAACUCCGGUUCGGGCGGGGCGGAAGUUGGCCUCCCGUGCGUGCCUGCGCGCGCGGUUAGCCCAAAAGCGAGUCCUCGGCGACGAGCGCCACGACAAUCGGUGGUUUUUUUACCCUCGUUCCUCGUCGUGCGUGUCCCGUCGCCCGAACGCGCUCUUGUGACCCUCACGCGUCGCCUCGGCGGCGCUCCCAACGCGACCCCAGGUCAGGCGGGACUACCCGCUGAGUUUAAGCAUAUCAAUAAGCGGAGG